GAUGAGAACGUAGCGAAAUGCGAUAAGUAAUGUGAAUUGCAGAAUUCAGUGAAUCAUCGAAUCUUUGAACGCACAUUGCGCCCCUUGGUAUUCCGAGGGGCAUGCCUGUUCGAGCGUCAUUAUCACCCCUCAAGCUUUGCUUGGUGUUGGGGCCUGCUGUAAUAGGCAGCCCUUAAAAUCAGUGGCGGUGCUUCAAGGCUCUAAGCGUAGUAAUUCUCCUCGCUAUAGUGUCUAGUGGUUGCCAGCCAGAACCCCCCAAUUUUCAUGAUUGACCUCGGAUCAGGUAGGGAUACCCGCUGAACUUAAGCAUAUCAAUAAGCGGAGGA
This 326-nucleotide unclassified non-coding RNA is filed under the name soil metagenome. RNAcentral describes it as "partial contains 5.8S ribosomal RNA, internal transcribed spacer 2, and large subunit ribosomal RNA". The stretch from base 5 to 119 matches the Rfam family "5.8S ribosomal RNA", at positions 40 to 154 of the family's 154-position model. The record is from RNAcentral.